Molecule: long non-coding RNA, 756 nt
Organism: Medicago truncatula (barrel medic)
Lineage: Eukaryota; Viridiplantae; Streptophyta; Magnoliopsida; Fabales; Fabaceae
Exons: 3
Source: RefSeq, a predicted model, not a curated record
CCGAGAUAGCCAAUGCAGCAAGGGAUUUUGUUGUGGAAAUUAAUGAAGAUGUCUCAAAGAAGACGAAGAGUUGGAAGCAGGGCGCACGACAGGAGUUAAUUCAAACUUCUCAUGCUCAUGUGAUUUCUGUUGAUGCAGGUUGUUUCUCGGAUGGCUAUACUGCAUCUGGCUGCGUGUUCAAUGACUAUACAGGUGUAACUACAUUCUCAGCUUGCAAAAAGGAACAAAUGACAGCUGAACCUACAAUUGCUGAAGCUCUUGGCAUCCGCUGGUGUAUGCAGCACACGAAGGAUCAAAGAAUUAAAGAAAAGAAAUCAUUGUGCAGUCAGAUGUGUUGGUUUUAGUGGAAUGCAUUAGGGCAGAUUGUAAAACUCUUAUGAAUGCCUUUAGUAAGACUGUAAUUACCAUGAUCAAUCAUGCAAUUGGAGCAUCUGGAGUCGUAACCAAGGAGUGCAACUUAGAUAUUGAUCAUGGUUGGCUUCUGGCACUGAAUGAAAGCGUGCAAGCACUGUUGGCCAUAUCAAACUGAAAUAUUGUUACUGUGUGAAGGCUUGUAAUUACAUAUAUGUAUUAUUGGACGAGCUGGGACAGAUUGGGAAGAGGUAAAAACAAAGGUGGCUUAGGAUUUAGAGGCUGUUAGUAUAGUGCAUUAUGCUUCUUCCUUUGCUGAAGUGUUCAAUGCAGCCUGUAGACGGCUUUGGGUGUUUUGAAGGUUAAUAUUGAUGUGGGAUGCUUUGAAGGCGGACACACAUGUUG